UUUUAAGAUCCUGUCUGUUUCUGACACGGCAGUGAAAUGGUAAAGUCCAGUCUGACUGUUGUCCUUCAGGGAAUUCUGAGCAGAAAAAGAUUUCAACUGAUGAGUAAACAGGAAAUAUUUGACUUGAACGGACCAUCUUUAAAUAAAUGGACUACUUUCAGCUCCAUUAGGACUCUCUUCAGCAGCUCGUAACAUUGUUUUGACAUAUCCAGCAGCAUUUAGCAUGUUUUUUCCCCUUUUCUGUUAUCUAUCAACGUCAUUGUUCUUCGAUGAACUCUGUGAAGUGCAGAAAACAAACCAGAGACUCGUCUGGGUUUUGGAAAAGACGCUUCAGGCAGAACCAUAAACUGAAAUUCAGUAACUGAGUAAAGAUUUUACAGUCAACUAUUAACUGCUAUGUAACAUCUCUUUUCAAUAGUUUAUGCGAUUAAAAAAAACAUAUAGACAUCAAGCUCAUGUAAAUAAUAACUACAUUAAAUAUGUAGUUAUUAUUCAAUCCAACAGGGAACAAAGACAAAAAUGAGGAAACUGUUGAUUUAUAGAGGUAUUUCACUCACUCUGUGAACACUCUUGAGACUAGAGUUGGAAACAACCACUUGUGUGUGGCUAAGGGUGAAGGUAGAUUUGCUAAGUAUAAUAGCGCCACCUAGUGCCCUGAGUGAUUCUGACCAGAGAUAAAAAGUGGAUCAAGAUCCCUUACAAAGUUUGACUUUAAAGGACACAAAGAACCUCCAAGAAUCCUUGGUUAUGAAGGAUCAAGUGUUUGGUGAUUAGAUCCAGACAGGCAGUCCAGACUAUCAUCACUGAGUUUUGGGACAGCUGCAGAUCAGUGAGCAUUUUACAGAAUAAAGUAAAGGAAAAAUGAAGGUUUUGAAGUUUAUAAAAACCAUUUACUGUGAAUACAUUUAUGCUUGUAGCCUCUCAAAGAACCGUGUUUUCCCACGUUUGUUAGUUAUUCCCACAGGGGAUUUGGCAGAGGUUUUUACACCAGAUGCCCUUCCUGACACAACCCUGUAUUUUAUCUGGGCUGUGUCGGGGAGACCCAGACUACCCAUAGGUAGGCAGUAGCGUGAAGUGUCUUUCCUAAGGACCCACACUGGAUCAAUCUCAUGGGAAAUGAGUCGUUUUCCCAUGUGCCUGUGAUGCAGUCAACUGAGCCAUCCACCUGCAAUAAUAAAGGGACAGCUGUGAUAAUUUAAAUCAGAUUUGGGUAAUUAAAUUAGCUAAUUCAUCUGAAUUCCAUUUUUAUUCAAAUUUGUGUUAAAAGACUAUUUUUACUAUAUUUUUGUGCUGUUUAUUUAUUUAUUUAUUUAUUUUUUGCUGGUCAUGUACUAAAAGUUUAUAUCAGUGAUGUUUCCCUGCUUUCACUGUACACAUGUUCACAGAACAGACAUGCUCUUUCUUGAUGAUCCACUAGAUGGCAGUGUAAGUCUGUGGAUGUUUUGGGUUUGUGAACCCAUUAACCCCCGUUCCACACACCCCUCGCCCCCAAGAGUGAGAGAAUCCUCUUUUUUCCCAGCACUGCAACAUGAAAAUGGGGCAGUUUGAUGCUUUUUUCAGCUGAAGCUUGAAUGUGAAUGUCUGGACCUGCGAGAAGUCCAGGAUGGAAAGACCUGAAAAAUGGUUUUCCUACUCUCCUGUCUUUCCUUGCUGCAUGCAUGAUUCACACCUCCGCUCCUCUUGCUGUCAGAAUGGCCCGUCUGAGGGCAGCCAUCUGCCCCAGCUGGCUGCUAAAGCCUCUGCCAGCCGUUUGAUGUUGAGGAGGAGCUCUGGAGACGCUGGCGAGGACGUCAAAGCAAGAACCACAAACUACAAAGCAGCAGGUCUCAUCUGUGGCUGAGAUGACCGUGAGAGCCUCCAGGUGGUGACAAGCCACCAGAGAAGAGAACCAAGUGAGCAAUAAGCUGCAAGUUUGAUUCAAAAUGAACUCAUUUUCUAUGAUUGGAAGCUUGAAGGGGAAGAAGUUCAACUGUCUAAUCACGAAAAGCAUUAAAAGUAAUCGUCUUAAUGGA
This is a long non-coding RNA of Oryzias latipes (Japanese medaka), 2012 nucleotides long. RefSeq lists it as uncharacterized. The record is from RefSeq and is a predicted model, not a curated record. NCBI's taxonomy places the organism in Eukaryota, Metazoa, Chordata, Actinopteri, Beloniformes, Adrianichthyidae.